Long non-coding RNA from Rhagoletis zephyria (snowberry fruit fly), 392 nucleotides. RefSeq lists it as uncharacterized. Lineage: Eukaryota; Metazoa; Arthropoda; Insecta; Diptera; Tephritidae. The record is from RefSeq and is a predicted model, not a curated record.
UGCACAGGACCAUCGAUAUAUUGAAUAUUUGUGUCUUUGACUAUUAUUUUUGUUUUGUUUCAGAUUUUACUGGAUUCCAAAUAUAGACAGUCUUUAUAAAAACCUGAGAUUGUUUAACGAUUUUUUCGAGCACAUUAAAGAUUUGCCUCCUUUUAAAGGACCAGUGAUGUUUAUCUGCGGAAAUAAGUCAAAUUUUGUUGACCCGAAGAGUUGGCCGCAAAUUCAACAGAUGUUUCCUGAAGCGGAACUACAUUGGCUUGACGCAGGGCAUUUGGUUCAUUUCGAACAACCAGAAAAAUUCAUUAAUUUGGUUGUCCAUUUUUUAAAACGCUAAAUGAUGGUGUUUGAAUAUAUCAUAUAAUCAAGUAAAGUUUAUUGUUCGAGCUUUAAAA